RNAcentral lists this unclassified non-coding RNA (342 nucleotides) under soil metagenome. Its description in RNAcentral is "partial contains 5.8S ribosomal RNA, internal transcribed spacer 2, and large subunit ribosomal RNA". The stretch from base 1 to 120 matches the Rfam family "5.8S ribosomal RNA", at positions 35 to 154 of the family's 154-position model. The record is from RNAcentral.
GAUGAAGAACGCAGCGAAAUGCGAUAAGUAGUGUGAAUUGCAGAAUUCAGUGAAUCAUCGAAUCUUUGAACGCACAUUGCGGCCAUAGGUAUUCCUUUGGCCAUGCCUGUUCGAGCGUCAUUUACCCCCUCAAGCCUAGCUUGGUGUUGGGCGUCUGUCCCGCCGUUCUCGCGCGCGGACUCGCCUCAAAGUCAUUGGCGGCGGUCGUGCCGGCCCCCUCGCGCAGCACAUUUGCGCUUCUCGGAGGCCCGGCGGAUCCGCGCUCCAGCAAGACCUUUCACGACUUGACCUCGGAUCAGGUAGGGAUACCCGCUGAACUUAAGCAUAUCAAUAAGCGGAGGA